This 560-nucleotide ribosomal RNA is filed under the name Haploporus latisporus. RNAcentral's name for it is "SSU rRNA". It matches the Rfam family "Bacterial small subunit ribosomal RNA", at positions 382 to 964 of the family's 1533-position model. The record is from RNAcentral. Lineage: Eukaryota; Fungi; Basidiomycota; Agaricomycetes; Polyporales; Polyporaceae.
GCAUACCUCGGGAACUAGCUAUCCGCAUCAGAGGAUAUUUUUGACUGCUGAUGUCGUAAGGGAAAAUAAUGAUAAUACCUUACUAUGAGUGUUGUCCAAAUCUGGUGCCAGAAGACUCGGUAAGACCAGAAACGCAAACGUUAAUCAUCAUAAACAGGCGUAAAGGGUUAGUAGGCAGCUUUUAUCAGAUUAUGAAUUCAAAAUAAAGUAGUCUAAUUAAAAGCUAGAAUCAAAAAGAGGUUAUAGUGUAUAACGCCUAGAGGAGGGCUGAUAUCCAUAGAUCCUAGGCAGAAUACUAAGGGCGAAGGCCACUUUCCAUUAAUGAUUGACGCUGAGAAACGAAGGUUAGGGUAGGAAAUAGGAUUAGAUACCCCGGUACUCCUUUCUGUAAACGAUGAAUGGUAGUCAUUAGUUUAAUUAUUCACAAAAAAUAACUAGAGACGAAGUUAACACAAUAACCAUUCCGCCUUGUGAGUACUACUGCAAAGUAGAAAACAAAAAAAUUAGUCGGUCUCGAAGCAAACGGAGUGAAGCAUGUUAUUUAAUUCAUUAAUCCGCCA